Long non-coding RNA from Macrobrachium nipponense, 336 nucleotides. RefSeq lists it as uncharacterized. The transcript is spliced from 3 exons. NCBI's taxonomy places the organism in Eukaryota, Metazoa, Arthropoda, Malacostraca, Decapoda, Palaemonidae. The record is from RefSeq and is a predicted model, not a curated record.
AAUGCAUCCUUAUCAUGAAUGCUCUACACCUCCACCUCCAUCUCCCACAACCUAGGUAACAGCUUUGAGACUCACUAAAAGUUGAACCCCCUGAAUGAUGUAGGCUAUGGGGCCACAUAAGACUUUGUCCAUCCAGGGUUACGAUGAAUGCAAAAUAUAAACUAAAGAACCAACAUUUUUCACACAACUCCAGGUUGUUACUACAAGUGUUCCAUCAAGGGAUAACUACUACAAGUAGAAGCACCAUUUUUGGAUGGAAAAAAACCCUUCAGGAAAGUAUACGUAUCACAUGUAACAUGUAGUGUAACAAAGUAUGAACAGUAAGGUUUUUACAUA